Long non-coding RNA from Oreochromis aureus, 2012 nucleotides. The record is from Ensembl. Lineage: Eukaryota; Metazoa; Chordata; Actinopteri; Cichliformes; Cichlidae.
UUUUGUUGUUGUUGUUGUUGUUGUUUUAUAUUAAAAACUUACUCUCUUACCUACUCAUUUGAGUUUUAGGUCUUUAAUUGUGAAAACCUCUGUAUCCUGAAUGUGAGGCUUUUAUUUUGAACGCUUGCAAGAAAUUAGUUUUUUAUCCACUUGGAGCAUUUUGUUUUGAAGCAGAUCCGGCUGCCCGUUGCUGUGUGUGUGUGUGUGUGUGUGUGUGUGUCAGCUGUUGAGGUCAGAUUGUGUGAGGAGGCGGGAUGAGGCUCAGUGUGUGUGUGAUCGCAGCCUGAUUAACACACACGGUCCUCAGCCUCCUCUUGAACACACACACACACUCCGUGACUUUUCGGCUCUCCAUCAUGGACCUGGACCCCGCCGUCAUCAUCCCCGCCAUCCUCUUCACCGUCGUUGCCAUUUAUUUCGCUACGUCGCUCCUCAGCAGGAAGCCCGACGCCUCCUCCUCGUCUGCCGGGAGCAAGAAGUCCAAACUCGGGUACAGAGACGACCUUCCUCCGCAAGGAGCUCUGGAAGAAGAGCCCGAAGCCUCCCUGCGACCAGAGCCCCCAGCUCCGGCUGUGGAGGACAUAGGAGCCGCCGAGAAGAUCCAGGCUGUCCCAGAACCACAACAUGUCCCUGAACCAGUGAAGAUACCAGAAGCUGAGCCAGAAGCAGCAGAAGAUCCAGAGGACAGAGAAGCAGUCACAGCACCAGAACCUGUGGCACAACCAAAAAAAGUGCCAGAGACAAGAGCAGAACGACCACCGGCGCCAGAAGCAGUCCCUGAACCAACAAAAGAGCCAAAGUCUGUUCCAGAACCAGUCACAGUAUCAGAACUUGUCUCUGAAGCUGUGUCAGGCCCAGAACCUGUUCUUGAACCAGAUGAAGCACAAGAAGCAGCACCAGUGUCUGAACCCAUACCAGGCUUGGUAUCAGGCCCAGAACAAGCUGCAGAACCUACCCCAGAGUCCAAACCUGUAGCAGAGCCCUUAUCAGAACCAGCCAGGUCCCCUGAACUCAUAUCUGAACCCAAAACUGUCCCAGAACCUGUUACUGAUCCAGAGCCUGUGCUCGUGUCUGAAGUGGCAGCCCAGAAGCCCGCGACUGAACCUGAAGAACUGCUUGAGCAGAUGCCCGGACCCAAUGAAGGUCUGACAGAACCAUCGCGUGAGCGGGAACCCGAACCAGAGACCGUCCUGGAUGACGAUGUGGCUGCAGCUGCUGAUGUGCUGAACUUCACCCCGGGAAUGAAACAGAGUAAGGUGGCGGUGCUGAUGACCCAGGAGGACAUGGAGGAGGAGCAGAGCUGAUCCGUGAGGAUGAGGAGCGCUGAAGAGAUGGAGAUCAGACCCUGCAGAAAGUCCUGCCUGCUUUCUUCUCUUGUUGUUGAGUUUUGAGGUUUGAGCUGCUUGUGAAAAGUAAACAUCUUCACACCAAAGUGCCUUCAGGAGUUUCUUUACUGUCUGCUUUUCGUGUCCAGCCUUUCUGAAGCAAACAAAUUAAUUAUGUGAGUGAAUGUUAAUGAAGUUAACCUCAGUAUAACCUAGUUCUCACUGCUGGUUUCAAAUGAAAAAAGACAAUUAGACGACAAGCUGCAAUAAAACGUUCCUGCUAGCUUCAGUGUUCAGUUGUGAUUUUAAAUGUUAACCAUGAAAUAAAAGUGUGAAACAUGUUGUUGAUUCUUUCUGAUCUUUGUUUUGUAAAUUCUGGAUUAUUAAAAAUACUUUUGCCCAUUCUCAGUAUUUGUUUACUCUUUCCUGUUUCCUGUUUUUGCUUCAAAGUUUAGGUGGAGCUGACAGAGACAAUAGCACCAUCAGGUGCUUGUUUAGAGGCAACACAUGCAAAACUAAAAGUGUAACCACAGACGACAUAAAAAAUGAAUGUCCCUCCAAAAAUGGUAAACCUGCAUUAAGACCUCCUCUGGCUGUAAGAGGUCAGGAGGUGAGCCUGCUGCUCAGCUGAUCUCUGAGCUCAGCAAGCCGGUCGGGUCGAUGGUCUCGGUCUCUGGUUUCAGGUCG